GACGAACGCUGGCGGCGUGCUUAACACAUGCAAGUCGAGCGGUAAGGCCCUUUCGGGGUACACGAGCGGCGAACGGGUGAGUAACACGUGGGUGACCUGCCCUUAGCUCUGGGAUAAGCCUGGGAAACUGGGUCUAAUACCGGAUAUGACUCCAUAACGCAUGUUGUGGGGUGAAAGCCUUGUGCGGCUAGGGAUGGGCCCGCGGCCUAUCAGCUUGUUGGUGGGGUGAUGGCCACCAAGGCGACGACGGGUAGCCGGCCUGAGAGGGCGACCGGCCACACUGGGACUGAGACACGGCCCAGACUCCUACGGGAGGCAGCAGUGGGGAAUCUUGCGCAAUGGGCGAAAGCCUGACGCAGCGACG
This 364-nucleotide ribosomal RNA is filed under the name uncultured bacterium. Its description in RNAcentral is "bacterial SSU rRNA". It matches the Rfam family "Bacterial small subunit ribosomal RNA", at positions 28 to 396 of the family's 1533-position model. The record is from RNAcentral.